Molecule: long non-coding RNA, 1835 nt
Organism: Alosa alosa (allis shad)
Lineage: Eukaryota; Metazoa; Chordata; Actinopteri; Clupeiformes; Clupeidae
Exons: 6
Source: RefSeq, a predicted model, not a curated record
GGCUUAAGAUGCUUUCGGGGAACUGGGCCCUGGACUGUGGAAGAUGUCUGUCCAUCAAUUUAAUUGACGGCAAGAUAGUAUCCAUUACCUUUGACUAUCUUUAAGUGUCCAAUUUGUGAUGUAAAGUUUUAUCUUCCCAAAUAUUUGCAACAUCUACAGUUACUUCAUCAGCAUCUUCCUGAUUUCUGCAUUGUUUGCAUUAUAUUUAAUGUAAUGAAAGUCUAUUGUCAUACUUGCAUUAACAGAACAGCAUUAAUUAAUGGGGAGACUGCUGGGGUUGACAGAGGGGAUGGUUGAACAACUGUUUCCUCUGAUGAAACACAGUCUUGUUUUUUAAGGGGGGAAAGUUAUGCAAAUCAUCAUUGGUUCAGUGAGUAUACUUCAUUAAUUUCUCCUGGUAAAGAGAUUUUUUUCAUGAAGGUGUUUUAGGACCACAUGUUAUUUUUUUCUGCCUAUUGUUUAAUAACGCUCAGCAUCUCUUUUGCUACUAAAACCAUGAGUAGGAAAAUUCUAAUUCCAAUGAUUGUUCUUUCAGGUACCCACACCAUAAAAAUACACUGAUGUCCUGUGGUGUCUGAUCACUAGAUAUCCAUUUCUUAACGACCACAGCUCAUCUGGAUAUGUAUUUUAUUUUUUAACGUUUUGUUAUGGAAAACAUUAUUCCUAAAUUGAAUUCCUAUACUAGCCUACUCUGUCUGAGCCUCAUAAUUCAUGUCUUUACUCAAAGGAGACCCUGCUGGAGUGUCUUAGGAAUAAUUUUAAAAAGGAAAGGUCUCCUUUGAUAAACUUGAUGACGGUGCAGGAGAUGAAGAGAAAGUUUGGUGUCAAAAGACAAAGAGUUGUGGACCAUGUGCCUCUGGAGGACCCACCUGGACAUCAGAGAGAAAAAAAGUGCAGAGUGGGGGUCCAGAUGUCUUCUGAUUAUGAGCCAACACAAGAGAUUAUGUUGGACCUUGAAGCAGUUGGGGAGGACUACCACAGCUUUUAAGAGCAUAUAAACGCCAUAAACAAUUAGUUGUGCCGUCGUCAGCCAGAUAUUAGUCAUAUAAUGGACAGGAUGAGGCAAACUGUCUAUAAGAGGGUAGAGCAAAUGGGAAAGCCAACUGAGGAGGUGAUGAUAUGUUCCCAUUUCUUUGGGUGUCAGAGCUGAUGCAUCAUGAAAUGAAGUUGCGGUUUGGACUGGACUUAGAGCUAAGCCUGCAUAACACCCUCAGUAUAUUGACCCCUGACGUCAUCAGAGUGGCUGACAGUGGGAGUCAGAGGGAGAGGCUGUCAAGCCUACGAGAUACUAACACAGAUGACCUUCAAAAAAGUGCUGCUGUCCUAAUUUUGCCUGCCCUUUUCAAGGAGGAUGCCAAGUUUCUGUAUUGUUUAGACGAGGAACCACUGUGUUUCCAACCAUCAUCUUCCAGGGUUGCCAGGAGAGCAUCCAUAAAGAUGGAUGGCAUCACAAUAGCAAGUGGAGAGAUGGAUGCCCUCCAAUGCCUGCUGGAGGUGUAUUACAUCUUUGGUGUGGAGUACCACAUGCAGAUUAAGGACACACUGGCUUUUACAGAGCAUUAUUUGUUCAAGAUACCAAGUCAAAAAAGAGUGUCGACUCCUGUUUUGAGACUUUACAAUGAAAUUGGCUAGUCUUCGUUAAUAUUACCUUUUAUUUGAUGAUAUACUUAAUACAUUUGCUUGAUUAUUUCUAAAUCUGUGUGUGGCCUUCCUGUUCAUGUUUUUAUGUGUAGAGCCAGGCACAACUCUUUCAUAGUAUUACAGGGCUUACAGCAUGUAAACAAAGGUUUGUGUAACAAGUUAAUGGGUAUAUUUUCAUUUAAAGUAAAAGCCUC